RNAcentral lists this ribosomal RNA (497 nucleotides) under uncultured bacterium. Its description in RNAcentral is "partial 16S ribosomal RNA". It matches the Rfam family "Bacterial small subunit ribosomal RNA", at positions 28 to 507 of the family's 1533-position model. The record is from RNAcentral.
GAUGAACACUGGCGGCGUGCCUAAUACAUGCAAGUCGAGCGAACGGACGAGUAGCUUGCUUCUCUGAUGUUAGCGGCGUACGGGUCAGUUACACGUUGUUAACCUCCCUAUAAGACUGGGAUAACUUCGGGAAACCGGAGCUAAUACCGGCUACUAUUUUGAACCGCAUGUUUUAAAAGUUAAAGACGGUCUUGCUUUCACUUAUAGAUUGAUCCGUGCUGCAUUAGCUAGUUGGUAAGGUAACGGCUUACCAAGGCAACGAUGCAUAGCCGACCGGAGAGGGUGAUAGGCGACACUGGAACUGGAACACGGUCAAGACGCAUAAGGGAGGCAGCAGUAGGGAAUCUGACGCAAUGGGCGAAAGCAUGACGGAGCAACGCAGCGUGAGUGAUGAAGGUCUUCGGAUAGUAAAACUCUGUUAUUAGGGAAGAACAUAUGUGUAAGUAAAUGUGCAGAAAGUGACGGUACCUAAUCAGAAAGCCACGGCUAACUACGUG